ACGGGAGGCAGCAGUGAGGAAUAUUGGUCAAUGGGCGAGAGCUUGAACCAGCCAAGUCGCGUGCGGGACGAAGGCCCUACGGGUCGUAAACCGCUUUUAUACGGGAAUAAAGUGCGCCUCGUGAGGCGUUUUGCAGGUACCGUAGGAAUAAGGAUCGGCUAACUCCGUGCCAGCAGCCGCGGUAAUACGGAGGAUCCGAGCGUUAUCCGGAUUUAUUGGGUUUAAAGGGUGCGCAGGCGGCUUUUUAAGUCAGUGGUCAAAUCGUGGGGCUCAACCCCAUCCCGCCAUUGAUACUGGAGAGCUUGAUUGCGGUCGAGGUUGGCGGAAUUCGUCGUGUAGCGGUGAAAUGCAUAGAUAUGACGAAGAACACCGAUUGCGUAGGCAGCUGACCAGGCCGUAAAUGACGCUCAUGCACGAAAGUGCGGGGAUCGAACAGGAUUAGAUACCCUGGUA
This 453-nucleotide ribosomal RNA is filed under the name uncultured Porphyromonadaceae bacterium. RNAcentral describes it as "partial 16S ribosomal RNA". It matches the Rfam family "Bacterial small subunit ribosomal RNA", at positions 341 to 792 of the family's 1533-position model. The record is from RNAcentral. Lineage: Bacteria; Pseudomonadati; Bacteroidota; Bacteroidia; Bacteroidales; Porphyromonadaceae.